AGAGUUUGAUCCUGGCUCAGGACGAACGCUGGCGGCGCGCCUAACACAUGCAAGUCGAACGGAAUGAGGAGCUUGCUUUUCAUUCAGUGGCGAACGGGUGAGUAACGCGUGAGUAACCUGCCCCAGAGUGGGGGACAACAGUUGGAAACGACUGCUAAUACCGCAUAAGCCCACAGUACCGCAUGGUACAGAGGGAAAAGGAGCAAUUUGCUUUGGGAUGGACUCGCGUCUGAUUAGAUAGUUGGUGAGGUAACGGCCCACCAAGUCGACGAUCAGUAGCCGGACUGAGAGGUUGAUCGGCCACAUUGGGACUGAGAUACGGCCCAGACUCCUACGGGAGGCAGCAGUGGGGAAUAUUGCACAAUGGGGGAAACCCUGAUGCAGCGACGCCGCGUGGAGGAAGAAGGUCUUCGGAUUGUAAACUCCUGUUGUUAGGGACGAUAAUGACGGUACCUAACAAGGAAGCCACGGCUAACUACGUGCCAGCAGCCGCGGUAAAACGUAGGUGGCAAGCGUUGUCCGGAAUUACUGGGUGUAAAGGGAGCGCAGGCGGAACGACAAGUUGGAAGUGAAACCCACAGGCUUAACCUGUGGCCUGCUUCCAAAACUGCCGUUCUUGAGUAGUGUAGAGGUAGGCGGAAUUCCCGGUGUAGCGGUGGAAUGCGUAGAUAUCGGGAGGAAUACCAGUGGCGAAGGCGGCCUACUGGGCACCAACUGACGCUGAGGCUCGAAAGUAUGGGUAGCAAACAGGAUUAGAUACCCUGGUAGUCCAUACCGUAAACGAUGAUUACUAGGUGUUGGAGGAUUGACCCCUUCAAUGCCGCAGUUAACACAAUAAGUAAUCCACCUGGGGAGUACGACCGCAAGGUUGAAACUCAAAGGAAUUGACGGGGGCCCGCACAAGCAGUGGAGUAUGUGGUUUAAUUCGAAGCAACGCGAAGAACCUUACCAGGUCUUGACAUCCGAUGACGACUUAAGAGAUUAAGUUUUCCUUCGGGACAUCGAGACAGGUGGUGCAUGGUUGUCGUCAGCUCGUGUCGUGAGAUGUUGGGUUAAGUCCCGCAACGAGCGCAACCCUUACUGUCAGUUACUACGCAAGAGGACUCUGGCAGGACUGCCGUUGACAAAACGGAGGAAGGUGGGGAUGACGUCAAAUCAUCAUGCCCUUUAUGACCUGGGCUACACACGUACUACAAUGGCGUUAAACAAAGAGAAGCGAAACCGCGAGGUAGAGCAAAACUCAAAAACAACGUCUCAGUUCAGACUGCAGGCUGCAACUCGCCUGCACGAAGUCGGAAUUGCUAGUAAUCGCGGAUCAGCAUGCCGCGGUGAAUACGUUCCCGGGCCUUGCACUCACCGCCCGUCA
This 1366-nucleotide ribosomal RNA is filed under the name uncultured bacterium. RNAcentral's name for it is "bacterial SSU rRNA". It matches the Rfam family "Bacterial small subunit ribosomal RNA". The record is from RNAcentral.